Non-coding RNA from Taeniopygia guttata (zebra finch), 8365 nucleotides. The record is from RefSeq and is a predicted model, not a curated record. NCBI's taxonomy places the organism in Eukaryota, Metazoa, Chordata, Aves, Passeriformes, Estrildidae.
GGAAAGUGAUGUUCUACUAUUAGAAAUGCCUGCAGGCCAAAAAGAAAAAAAAUCCUGUGCAGAGAUUUUAAAAGGAUUUUCCAACUGCUUUAAAGCUCAGAUCCUACACUAAAUAUCCUCCUAAAGCACAUAGAAUUUGAGAAGUGCAGAAGCUUUUGGUCAUGUUCAGAGAAGCCAGAAACCACCAGGAAAAUGUCCACGCUGUCAGAAGCCUUUACCUACGAGGACACUCAUCCCUCUGCAGUGUGCUAUCAGGAAUUAGAGUGCUUGGCGAGCCCCUGCUCUCUAGAAGAGUCAUCAUCAAAGCCUGGACAGUGGUGUGAGUCUCUAAACUGCAGGAGCAAUGAUCUGCAAUGAUGACCCGCAUGUGGGAGCAGGCUUUCUCUCUUAUACAGGUAUAAAUUUAUGAGGAAGAUCCACCUCUGUCCAGGGUAAGAUCAUCCCCUUUUCCACUUGCAUUUAUCCUACAGGCUUGAGCCUGAAUGGAAAGGGAAGCUACAUUAAGACUAAAUUAUUUAUUGAGACUUCAGUUUGUGUGGUGAGACACUAGAACACGUUGCUCAGAUAAAAUGUGGAUGCCCCUUUGUUGGAAGUGGUGCCCAUCACAGGGCAGGGUAGGACUACAGACAAUUUUAUUCAUGUUGAAGACUUUUGCCAGUUUUACAUGACAAGAAAAACUCCUGUUCUUAUUCAAAGUUCAUUGAAGAAAUGGCUCUGGCACAUGUGCAAUCUGUAUCAACUAAUUUUACACCCUGGUAGCUAAUGGAGACCAUCACACAUUUUGUCUUUUAAAGGCAUGAUGAGGUGGCUAUUGUGAGUUUUUGGGAUCUUCAGACUUUUUUAUCAUUCCCCAAUGAGCAUUCCCUAAGUGCAGCCCCAUACCCUGUGAGUCUGUCCUGUUCCUUCACAUGAUUACACAUGAAAAUGUCAAGAGUUCUUCUGAAUACUUUUACCAGGAAAAUUAGGCUAAAAGUCACUUUAUCUUUUAAGCUGUGUAUACACAUGCACAUGAGCGCACACACACUCACACUUCUGUGCCUCCUCCUUGUGAAGUCCACUUUACUAAGCAUGAUCUACCCUUUUAAAUCCAUGCAGAGCCUCAUGACUCACUUUGUACUUGUCAACAUUUUCUAGCUUGUUGCUGACCGGUGAUACCAAAUCUUCCUUCAUAUAAAUGUCAGAUAUUUAAAAAAUCCUCAUUUUUUUUCUCUGGGAUAUCUGCAUAUUUGAGAAGAAUUUUAUUAGCCUACUUUGGGCUCUCAUUUUAACUCCUCUUUUACACCAUUAUUUUGAACAAUCCUGUCUUUCUUAUGCUUAUUCCAGUGAAGAGACAAAAAUAUUUUAUUUUAAAUAUAUUCCAGCAAAAUCAGAGUGAACAUUAGCUGUCUAUAAGGGUUAACUCAUUACUGAAAAGCAUGCCUGAUAAAUUGGAAGUGUGGCUCUCAGCCAAGAGAGAUCAAUAUAUUCUGAGCAUUCAUUUUCUGCCUUCAGAGUGGCAAAUCCUGUUGCUGGUAUCAGAUGUGAUACAGCUUCUGAAAGAAGCAACCUCAGAGGCAAAUUCAUGCUUUGCUAUUCAGAGAACUAUCCACUAACAGUGUACAUGAAUUAAGGGCAUGCCUUACUUAUUGUUGUAGCGUUGUAUCUGGAAUUGCAAAUUGUAACUGAGAAACAAAAAGAAGCCAUAAACAACUUUAAAAUAAGUCAAAUUCCAUUUUCAAAAUAUCAUGUGAAGUGUCUAGUAAUGUAAAAGCUUUAAGAGGUAUUUAUUAAGCUCCUUGACAUAUUUUAACCCCAAAUUUCAGCCAUAUUUUCACCCCAAAUUUCAGCCAUAUUUUCUUCUAUUCUGAGUACUAAAAUCAGUAAUUCACAUGCGUGAUGGAGUUGUUAAUCCAAAAGCAUUCCCAUAAUCUCAGUAUGGAUCAGUAAAGAGCUCCAGUCAAGCUGUCUGCAAGUGAAGCCGUCAUAGAACAAUGUAUGAUUUAAGAAUAACUAAACAGCAGUUAACCUUCCCGUUUUAAAAGAAAGUAAAUAUUCCACUUUUUUUUUUCCUUACAGACUCAUUUUGCUUUAUAAUCCCUAUUUCAUAAUUCCCUAUCUGCAAACUUUAAUUCAGCAGCUUUGUAUUUAAUUUACAUUGUGUUUGAAUUACACUGUGUUUAAUUUACAUCUACACAAGAGCAAGGAACAGAAGUCAGGCUUUGACAAAUCCAGGCCGUAUUAAACCUAGUCAAAUUCUUUCCAAAGGAAAAAAUGCAGAGCCCCAGUGCUAAUAUUUCUUUGAUGUCGUGGAAUUUAUGGAAGAUUAUAAAUUUAAUAAAAAAUUAUAUUUAUGGUUGCUCAUCUACUACAGUCACAGAGGUCUAUAAGAAGGCUUUUGGGGGGCCUUCAGUUUCCUCUGGCAGACUAUGAACAGAAUGAAACACACAUCCUGGGCAUGGUGAACACCUGUGUGCUUGCUGCCUGCUUCACCCAGUCACGCUGAAUGAAGCCUUCACCCAGUGCCUCCAGUGCACCAACGUUGUCCCGAGCAUCAGAGCCAAGCCUAUGGAGAAGGGAAAGUUUUGUGUAAUAGGAGAGGGAAGACUAAAGUAGCCUUUCCCAGGUUUCUCUGCCCUCUUCUGCUCCUUCUCCGCCCUUCUCAGCUUGUGAGGUGCCUUUGCCAACCCUGAGGCCACGGAGGCCUGUUAGCAACAGGAACAUUGCUCCCUGCAGCAGGCAAGGCAGGACAGGACAGAGGUGCACAGGGGUGGAGAAGGGCGUCCUUGGAGAGAAGGAUGGGAGAAGGGAGGAUGAGAAAAAGUGGAAGGGCAGAAUUACACUUCUAAACACCCUAGAAUUCUUUAGCACUCCAGAAUAGCCCCUUUUCUCUUACUUUUCAAAGUUAAUUACCAUACUUAUUGAGAGGCAACUCUUAUUAAUCCACAUGCUUUUGCCUUUACUGUUAAAAGACAUAAAAUUUGUUUUCCAUAUGGAAUGGAAAUGGAAAUAUGUUCAACUAUUGCAGGACAAGCUCACACAUUAAUGUAGCAGGCUCUGAAACAUCUCAACUCUAUUCUCCUGACAUGCAGUCAAUUGUUCAUUAAGGAGAAGGUAGCUAUAUUUUAAAGAACUUACAUUUAAAAGGAAGUAUUUUCUUUUUUUAAAGGAAAACUCUUGUAUGCAUACAGUUACAGAGAAUGUAUUCAUUUAUAUAUCUUUCAUAUAAUUAAAUGAUAUUCGUAGAAGAGUCCUAAUAUGUAAAAUAUGCUUGUUUAGACAUUUAUGAAAUGCAGUGACUAAUAAUUUUCAAGAUUUUCUAAUGGAUGUUUCCUAUUGUUCAAGCAAUGCAGAAGGGAUAUAUUUCCUGCCAUUUUACAAAAUGCAAAAUAUUUUCCCAGUGCAAGUUCUACAUUUGCUCUUUCUCCCUAACACUUUCUGGCAGGGAGGAAAAGAUGUCAACAGUUCAUGUAGAGCAUGCAAGAAAAAUUUCCAGUGUGAUUAUGUACUCUCGGUAUUUCAGCAGUCUGGAGAAGAAUUCUGUAUAUUCAUGCACUGAUAUAGACAAAUUGUUAUUUUUAUUGCCUUCAAGCUGUUCAAUGACAUCAUAUACCUAUCCACAAACAAUUGUAAUCACUUUGGAUUUAUAAUUCAUUGUUCAUUAGAAGUUUAGUAUAACUUGGUUUUCUUUCUCAGAAACAAGACUUUGCAAGUUUGACCUGAGGAUAAAAUACACUGAAAGAAACUUUACUACAGUAUGGAAAUCAAACCUUCAGAACUAAAAUUCCAGCAACAACAGUUUUCCAAGAUGUUUUGCAUCUUAUUGUCUAAUUUAUUUUAUUUAAUUAUGUGUUUCAAUAGGUAUACUACUUUUUACAGAACUUUUGGGUAUCUGAGUUUCCUUUGCAGUUUAAUAGGACUCCAAAGUAGUCAGAAGUCCAAGUCUUAAUUUUGUCUCGAAAGUCAACAUCCAAAUGCACAAAAAAAUGGGCUUUGGCUUUUAAAUGUAGUAUUUUGUUUGAGCAGAAGCUGCAAACAUUUUUUCAAAUAUCAAUCUGUUGGCUAAGACAUAAUGUUGGUGCAGGGGUUUGUGAAUAGUUUCCCUGUGAAAUAUCUUUUUGUAAUGUGAGACCUUUUCUUCAGGAUUGCUUUUGGUCCAGCAAAGACAUCCUGGGCUGUAAGGAAACCUUUAAAAUCUCCUCUGGACCCUGGAAGUCUUUGCUUUAGUAACCUCCAAGGCCUGGUCCCUAAGGGACCUGCUCCCAAGCUCACAAAAUUUUGGUGGGUAUGCAGGCUUAGCUGGCUCCCCCACAUCCUCUCUCUUGAUGUGCUCUUGAAGCCUCCCUUCCAGUGAGUGUUUCAUUGCCUUUAGGAAAAGGGAAACUCAUCUCCCUGUGAAGGGAGCAGCACACACUGAAAACAGUGCACUGCCAGCAGGAUAUGGUGAGCAGAAGCCUUCCUUGUCACCUUUGUGCACUAUGUUAGAAGGAAAGGCCACUGGUAUGAGCAAAAUAAAACAAGUGUCAUCCAUCAUAUCUUGAAACAAGUCCAGUAGCAUGGUCAUUGUAUUAGAACAAUUGGAAUUACACAUUUACAAAACCAGCAUUUAUUUUUUGCCAGCUGACUUUUAUUUGAAACCAAAAUCCACAACUGGUAUAGACUAUCACAAAGAAAAAUAAUGCAUGUAGAAAAGAAGAUGGAAUAAAAGGGGUACUCCAAACCCUUACCAUACUGAACUUCUUCAUGAUGCUUGACUUGUUUAUUUUUUUUCCAUUACUUUUUUGCUUCCAUGCAAUUACAGUUCCUGUGUGAACUAGCAGUUGUCACUGCUGCUUUUACAGCAGCACCUUAAAGAUUCACUGUUUCAUUUGGGGUAAAGCAAAUCCAAGAACUUCAUCUUGGCAAAGCCUCUGAAAAUUUACAGUGAACUUGUGUGCUCUGCUUUUAAACAUAGGCAGCAAUAUACUUUGGAACAUUCUAUAUUAAAAUUUCAGCAGUGAUUAUUUACUCACUGACCACAAAUGCUCCAUAAAUAUCUUUGAACAGUAACUGCUGUGCAAGAGUUGGACUGAGAUGUUCAAACUUGCAAACUGACGUCCAAAUAUCACUGGCAGAGAUAUAUUGGGAGAGGCAGUGGGAGAACAGUUAUUCCCUUAUGCUCAGUGCAUACUUUUCUGUAGGUUUUGAUUGUGUAUGAAACAAAUGUAUGCUACUAAUUACUGUCAUCUGGUCCUGGUGUUAGCUGCUACUCCAGGUUGUUUCACUAACCUCACAGCCCUGGGCUAGGGUUGGUAUCCUCAGCAUGUGCCCAGUUCAGUGGGGGCUGACACAGCCAGCAAUGGCACUGAAGUGCUUGACCUUCCUUCUGCAGUAGGAGCAUCACUGUGGUUUCACUCUGUUAAUAAUAACUUCCACUGACUCAGGCUUUUUUUUUUUUAACCUCAGAGGUGUGAGGGAACUUCAAGUCUUCCCUGUUCAGACCCUAAAGAAGCAUCUGAGAGUCUUGGUGGUUUGUGAGGAACAAGAAGGUGAUAUGUAAGCAGACCAGGAUCAUCUACAUGGUGGCUGCUUCUUGCUGCUGCCCCUAUGAAUUUUAUGUUUUAGAGCAAAAAGCAUGGCAGUAUAAUGGCUUAUGUGAGCGUUUACAUGAACACAAGCACAUGUCUGCACUCAGCAUAGUUUGAAUUAAGACUGCUGUCCAAGUAAAUGGCAUAUACUACCUAUGAGCACUGGGAAGUAUCUUGGAAGAUAUUCCAAAUCUUGUCAGGCCAACUUUAGAUAAGGGCUGGGUGUGAAAGCAAUGACCCACCAGAUACAGGCUGUGGCAGCCCCAGGAGGUGAAUCAGGAGUGGCAGCACUGUGCCCCAGUCUGGACCUCUGCCUGCUGGGACCUGAAGGAUAGGGCUUAAGAAGGAAGACAAUGGUGGGUAAAAGGCUGGGAGAAAUGCUUCCUUAGUUCCUUCCUCCCUCAUUCCUUCCCUAGGAACCCUUGUAUGGAGAAGUGUGAUACUGGAUUUCUUUCAGAGGCCUCAGAGGCUAUGGUUUCGGUAAAGCUAUACUGGGAUAUUACCAAGAAAACAUCAGUGAAAAUAUCCAUUUUAAGCCACUAGAAUAUAUUGAAACAUUGCAUUUUAAUUACUUGUAAUAGCUAAUUUGUUUAUCUACACAAAAGGUUAGCUGCAAUUUCAAAGCUAGUUCUAUUAGAUUUUAUAUAAUGAGACAUUUUAUUACAUUAUAGGACAGCAGACCCUGUUUUUUUGUGUGUUGUUUCAAGUGCUUUACUUUGCUAUUGAGGCCUUGCCAUCACACCAUCUUGGUGUCUGUAAUCUGUUCUGUGGGGCCAAAAUGAUGGGCAUCAAAGGACUCCUUUUUUUUUUUUUUUUUUUUUUUUUCAUUGUUACAAAGGUUUUGAGAAAAUUUCUGGUAUUUUUGUACAGGAAACUUAAUAGGAGACAAAGCAAUAAUAAGCUGAAAAAUAAAAAGCUCUUUCUCAAGUAGCAUAAUAUCACUCUAACCUCAGGCUGUAUCACAGUGAAAAUUACUACUUAGGGUCUUUUAUUAAAAUAUUUUUUAUCAAUCUGCUUAUUACAUUAUACGAAAAAAGGUUAAAAGUGACGUGUUUGCAUUGUCUGCCACAGACGUACCAUUUUCUCUGACAGACAUCUGUUACUCAAUUAUCAUUUUCUCACAUUUCUUAAUUUUCUAGUCCAACUCUUAAUAAGGUCUCCAGCAUGGAAGGUUCUGUUCAGCAGCAGUCUGGGAAAUAUUCUCCUGCUCUUUUGCAGAGAGGACUUGGUCUCCAUUAAAAGAAAUUAUAAAGUUUGUGCCCUAAUAGUUCACAAUUCUCAAAAACAUGCUGCUAUUUUAAUGUUCAUGAUAUUUUCCCCCUAAAUAUUUAGCCUGUGCCAUGGCAACAGCUGCUUUUAAGUUCUAAAGUUGUUUUCCCAUCCUUCACUUAAGAAAAAAAAUGUUAGUUUCAAUUUAUUCCCCUUAAAUGUAAAAUUCAGUAUUUUAAACUUUUAUUAACUAUAAACAGCUAUACCAAUGGUUUGUGAUCUGCUUUGGAUUCUCUAUGCAAAUGGAAAUUACUAUAUUGAUUGCUAUUCAUUAUGAAGAGGCACCUAAAACUAUAGGAUAAAGGCAAAUAAAAAGUAUGUACAAUAUGUGUUGUAGGUAUUUUGGAAAGGGGAUGACAAGUAGAGGGUAAGUAGCAAAAUUAGUAUUCCCAGUACAUAUUUAAAAAUCAAGAAGCAUGCUAAAAAUAAUUGUAUCAUAACAGGGACAAUCAGUGGUCCAAUUUUUUCCAGUGCAUGAGUGUGAAGCGGAUUGAAUAACUGAAUGUACAAAUUCUUGAUACUAACAGCUGAACAUUUUAUUGCCCAAGACAGGGCUAAGGAAAAGGACAUUAAAGAUCCUUAAAUGUAACUAUUAACAAAUGUACCACAAUUAAUUGUUACUACUGCCAUUAUUGCUAGUAUAUUUGAAGAGUGCUGGAAGUAAAAUGUAGUGGAUUCCACAAUAGGUACUUCCUGAGUGCAUUUGGAUGAUUUCUUACCUUGGUCAAAAUAAGAACAGACUUAAUUCUGAUGCAGAAAUCCUACAUUCCUUUUUAGAGUCGUCUGAUUAGCAAGAAAAUCAGUCAAACAAAUUUAAUGAAAAAAGUGCAUGCAAGUCUUUUGCCUACGUAAGCAAUACACAGGAUCUUAAUGGGUGUUUUAUUAAAAAAUAAACUGUUCUACUCAAAUUCUGACUAUCAACUGAUUACUAAUGGCUGAUGGAGAACAAAAAGAUUUAUAAUUGGAUUGUGCUUAUUAGCAAGAAACUACACCUUCCCACAAGAGGAACAUAUAUAAUAGACAUACAGAUAUCUCAUAACAGUUUAUUCUAUACCACACCUUCCCCUAUUUGUUUUAAAGUGAGAGUAUGAAUCUAUACAUGCCACUGUGUCUAUUGAUUUGCACAGAACCCGCUGGAUUGCUUGAUCCAGGAAGUAACCAUAUCAUUAAAGUUACAGUUUGUCAUAUGUACAUCCUCCUCUGAAUCAGGGCUGCUAGCAUUGAAUAGGACUAGGAAUUGAUACUAAACACUAUGUCUUCUUUGUAGAAAAUUCCUGAUAAAAUACUUAUUAUGCUUCUCUUAUCUUAAUGCUUUUUCAAUGUUUUAAGCAAUUUCUGUUACAGUUUUUUUCCUGCUGGAAAGUAUAAUUGCAGGUUUUCUUCCUUUUCUGGUGCAAGGCUUACAAACACAUUCUUUAAGAUCAUUACAUUAUCUCAAGUACCUUUAAAAAGCUUCCCUCUGAUCAGCUCAAUGUUCUAUGUAUUGUAGGAGAUACAGAUAAUAGAGUUAUUCACAUAAAUUUGCAUUAGUGAUACUGAAUUUCCUUAAAAGA